CCCCCCCCGCCGUGGGAGCUGCCGCCGGGCAGGAGGAGGAAGAGCAGCAAGGGCGAGCGGGCGCCCUGCUCCCCCCAGCCCCAGGUGAGCAUGCGGCGGCCCCCCGGGCUUGCCGCGGGGCUGGAGCUGCCCCGGGGGCACCCAGGGCUGCGGGUCCCCCCUCCAGAGCGGCAGGGUCCCUGGCGGCGGGACCGUCCCUAACGGAGGCUCUCGGCGGUGGUGGCAGCCGGUGCCCCCGCCGUGGUCCCCAGCGCUGCUGUGCGCGCUCCGGGAGGAGGAGGAGGAGGAGGAAGCCUUGGCUGCCAUGCUGAUGUCCUGGUACAUGAGCGGCUACCACACCGGCUUCUACAUGGGCCUCCGCAAGGGCCGGGCCGAGGCGGCCGCACUGCUGCCGAGACGGGGCUGCAGGCAGAAGAAGCCAUCGCCGCGCAGCUAGGAGGGCAGCUGGAUCGGCGUCCCCGUGUCCCGCUGCAGGGGCAGGGCUGGGGCGAAGUGCAGCGCUCCCGGCCUCGCCUUGCCGCGGGGGGGCCCAGUGGUGGGAGCCCGGGAGGAGGGGGAGCCGCUGUCCCCCCGCCACGGGCCGGCUCUGCCUCCGUGCCUGGCCUCGGAGGCGCCGCAACCCCCCGGGCUGCCCCGGCCGUGCUCCCCCCGCACAGGGAUUUGGGAAUAAAGCUGCUUUGUGGGAUGCUGUGUGCUGGGGCUGUCUGCACCCCGGGGAAGGGGCCCGGCCCYGCGCAGGGGCCUGGUGCUCGCUCUCAGCCCAGGACUCGAACGGGGCUCGGUGUCC
Dromaius novaehollandiae (emu) is the source of this 787-nucleotide long non-coding RNA. Lineage: Eukaryota; Metazoa; Chordata; Aves; Casuariiformes; Dromaiidae. The record is from Ensembl.